RNAcentral lists this ribosomal RNA (493 nucleotides) under Helicobacter pylori. RNAcentral's name for it is "bacterial SSU rRNA". It matches the Rfam family "Bacterial small subunit ribosomal RNA", at positions 216 to 727 of the family's 1533-position model. Lineage: Bacteria; Pseudomonadati; Campylobacterota; Epsilonproteobacteria; Campylobacterales; Helicobacteraceae. The record is from RNAcentral.
UGCUAAGAGAUCAGCCUAUGUCCUAUCAGCUUGUUGGUAAGGUAAUGGCUUACCAAGGCUAUGACGGGUAUCCGGCCUGAGAGGGUGAACGGACACACUGGAACUGAGACACGGUCCAGACUCCUACGGGAGGCAGCAGUAGGGAAUAUUGCUCAAUGGGGGAAACCCUGAAGCAGCAACGCCGCGUGGAGGAUGAAGGUUUUAGGAUUGUAAACUCCUUUUGUUAGAGAAGAUAAUGACGGUAUCUAACGAAUAAGCACCGGCUAACUCCGUGCCAGCAGCCGCGGUAAUACGGAGGGUGCAAGCGUUACUCGGAAUCACUGGGCGUAAAGAGCGCGUAGGCGGGAUAGUCAGUCAGGUGUGAAAUCCUAUGGCUUAACCAUAGAACUGCAUUUGAAACUACUAUUCUAGAGUGUGGGAGAGGUAGGUGGAAUUCUUGGUGUAGGGGUAAAAUCCGUAGAGAUCAAGAGGAAAACUUCAUGCAAGGCACCCU